Molecule: non-coding RNA, 167 nt
Organism: Pipistrellus kuhlii (Kuhl's pipistrelle)
Lineage: Eukaryota; Metazoa; Chordata; Mammalia; Chiroptera; Vespertilionidae
Product: small Cajal body-specific RNA 16
Exons: 1
Source: RefSeq, a predicted model, not a curated record
AUGGUCUGGGGAAAGGCUCCUGUUGUGAGUGCAGUCUCGAACCAGGCAGCCCUACCCUGACUAAAGUAAAUUCCCAGGAGAAGUUUUUUUUGGGUUUUGAAUUUGCAGCAACGGGUUUGAACAUUCUAGUAGCAGUUUGAUGAUCAUGUAUGAUACUGCAAACAAGA